GCCAGGCAUGGUGGCGGGUGCCUGUAAUCCCAGCUACAUGGGAGGCUGAGGCAGGAGAAUCACUUGAACCUGGGAGGCGGAGGCUGCAGUGAGCCAAGAUUGUGCCACUGCACUCCAGCCUGGGUGACAGGGUGAGACUCUGUCUCAA
This 148-nucleotide non-coding RNA is filed under the name Homo sapiens (human). The record is from Rfam by way of RNAcentral. Lineage: Eukaryota; Metazoa; Chordata; Mammalia; Primates; Hominidae.